Molecule: non-coding RNA, 113 nt
Submitted as: unclassified sequences
Source: Rfam
UGGCAUUGAAGCAAUAGACUGGUUCGGCAUCAGUCUGUUAUGGAGCCAAACCGUGGGUUAAGCGAUAACCACAAGCCGAAUGGAUUUUCCAAAAUCGAACGAAAACGCAAAAC